CCUACGGGAGGCAGCAGUGGGGAAUAUUGCACAAUGGGGGAAACCCUGAUGCAGCGACGCCGCGUGAGUGAAGAAGUAUUUCGGUAUGUAAAGCUCUAUCAGCAGGGAAGAAAAUGACGGUACCUGAUUAAGAAGCGCCGGCUAACUACGUGACAGCAGCCGCGGUAAUACGUAGGGGGAAAGCGUUAUCCGGCUUUACUGGGGGGAAAGGGAGCGUAGACGGCAGCGCAAGGCUGAAGGGAAAUGCCGGGGCUUAACCCCGGAACUGCUUUGGAAACUGUGCAGCUAGAGUGCAGGAGAGGUAGGUGGAAUGCCUGGUGUAGCGGUGAAAUGCGUAGAUAUUAGGAGGAACACCAGUGGCGAAGGCGGCUUACUGGACUGUAACUGACGUUGAGGCUCGAAAGCGUGGGGAGCAAACAGGAUUAGAUACCCGAGUAGUC
This 440-nucleotide ribosomal RNA is filed under the name uncultured bacterium. Its description in RNAcentral is "partial 16S ribosomal RNA". It matches the Rfam family "Bacterial small subunit ribosomal RNA", at positions 338 to 795 of the family's 1533-position model. The record is from RNAcentral.